This 478-nucleotide ribosomal RNA is filed under the name uncultured bacterium. RNAcentral describes it as "partial 16S ribosomal RNA". It matches the Rfam family "Bacterial small subunit ribosomal RNA", at positions 28 to 507 of the family's 1533-position model. The record is from RNAcentral.
GACGAACGCUGGCGGCGUGCUUAACACAUGCAAGUCGAACGGGAUUUAGUAGACAGAAGCCUCGGCUACAGAUUACUAAUGAGAGUGGCGAACGGGUGAGUAACGCGUGAGCAACCUGCCUAUGACAGUGGGAUAGCCUCGGGAAACCGGGAUUAAUACCGCAUAAAAUCGUAGAAACACAUGUUUUAACGGUCAAAGAUUUAUCGGUCAUAGAUGGGCUCGCGUCUGAUUAGCUAGUUGGUGAGAUAACAGCCCACCAAGGCGACGAUCAGUAGCCGGUCUGAGAGGAUGAACGGCCACAUUGGAACUGAGACACGGUCCAAACUCCUACGGGAGGCAGCAGAGGGGAAUAUUGCACAAUGGGGGAAACCCUGAUGCAGCGACGCCGCGUGAACGAAGAAGGUAUUCGUAUCGUAAAGUUCUGUCCUAUGGGAAGAUAAUGACAGUACCAUAGAAGAAAGCUCCGGCUAAAUACGUG